Molecule: ribosomal RNA, 542 nt
Filed under: uncultured bacterium
Lineage: Bacteria
Description: bacterial SSU rRNA
Rfam family: Bacterial small subunit ribosomal RNA
Source: RNAcentral
GAGGAAUAUUGGUCAAUGGGCGAGAGCCUGAACCAGCCAAGUAGCGUGCAGGAUGACGGCCCUAUGGGUUGUAAACUGCUUUUAUGUGGGGAUAAAGUGAGCUACGUGUAGUUUAUUGCAGGUACCACAUGAAUAAGGACCGGCUAAUUCCGUGCCAGCAGCCGCGGUAAUACGGAAGGUCCAGGCGUUAUCCGGAUUUAUUGGGUUUAAAGGGAGCGUAGGCCGUGGAUUAAGCGUGUUGUGAAAUGUAGACGCUCAACGUCUGAAUUGCAGCGCGAACUGGUUCACUUGAGUAUGCACAACGUAGGCGGAAUUCGUCGUGUAGCGGUGAAAUGCUUAGAUAUGACGAAGAACUCCGAUUGCGAAGGCAGCUUACGGGAGCACAACUGACGCUGAAGCUCGAAGGUGCGGGUAUCAAACAGGAUUAGAUACCCUGGUAGUCCGCACAGUAAACGAUGGAUGCCCGUUGUUAGUUCACUUUAGAAUUAGCGACCAAGCGAAAGCAUUAAGCAUCCCACCUGGGGAGUACGCCGGCAACGGUG